This 253-nucleotide ribosomal RNA is filed under the name uncultured bacterium. RNAcentral's name for it is "partial 16S ribosomal RNA". It matches the Rfam family "Bacterial small subunit ribosomal RNA", at positions 524 to 776 of the family's 1533-position model. The record is from RNAcentral.
UACGGAGGAUCCAAGCGUUAUCCGGAUUCAUUGGGUUUAAAGGGUGCGUAGGCGGAAGCGUAAGUCAGUGGUGAAAGCCUGCAGCUUAACUGCAGAAUUGCCAUUGAUACUGCUCAUCUUGAGUACAUUUGAUGUGGGCGGAAUGUGUCAUGUAGCGGUGAAAUGCAUAGAUAUGACACAGAACACCGAUUGCGAAGGCAGCUCACAAAACUGUAACUGACGCUGAGGCACGAAAGCGUGGGGAUCGAACAGG